AGCCUGCUUCUGCUGCAGGCUCAUCCCCAAGGAGGCAGGAGGUGGCUGAUCCAGAGCCAGCCAGCACGGUCCUGAAGUGCUGACAGGGACGCCAGCAAGGGCAGCUCAUGGUUUCCACGUGGCAGCCAGGGCAGAGGGGUUGGCCGCUUUUCCCUCUCACCCCUGACGAUGGUGAAGAAGCUCUCAGGUGGGGAGUCAGGUGACUGCAGGUGCUGGCAGUGCGGCCUUUCCCCUCCCCUGCAGCUGGGAUGCUGGGAGCUGGGCCUGAGCGCUGGCUGCAGCCUCCAAGUAAGCUUGCAGAUGGGCCGAGUUGCAGAUGAGCGUGCAGCUCUCGCCUCCAUAUCUUCUGCUCCUGGGUUGCCGAAAUCCCAGGGGUGACGCUGUGACCUCCGCUGUCCAUUCCUUUCAAACUAAGCCUCCCCCAUGGUGCUAACGGGGAUAAGCGGCAGACACAGUCGCAUGCCGGCAGGCCACCGAGGCUCGAGGAGGCACGCGGGUCCAGUAGGUGCAGGGGUCUACGUACCUUUAUGUCACCAUUCCCUCAUUCAGAAAUACUUUGUGCACUGUCUGUCAGGCCCCCGGGGAUGGAGCGGUGAAUGUGGCUGCUGUGGCCAGGCUCUCACGGCACUUACAGUCUGGGGGAGGAGCAGGGAGGUGCUCGCAACCCAGUGGACAAACACUGCUGUGCUGUGGGGGCCACGGCAGGGCACUGUAUGGAAUGGGUUGUGUCCCCCACCACGGAUGUGCUGAAGUCCUGACCCCCAGUUCCUGUGAGUGUGACCUGACUUGGGAACAGUCUGCUGGUGUAACCAAGCAAAGAUGGGUGGUCAGGGUGGGCCCUUGAGCGUCAUGACUGGUGUUCUUCUGAGAAGACGAGAAGAGACACGUUCGCAGAGACACUCGGAGAAGGCCGUGUGGUUGGAGCGAUGUCCUGCAGACCGAGAACUGACAGCAACUUCGGGAGCUAAGAGGUAGCCCUGGAGCAGAUGCCCCUAGAGCUUCCAGAGAGAACACCGUCCUGCCCGCACCUUGGUCUCGAACUUCCGGCCUGCAGGCUGUGAGAGAAUGCACUUCUGCUCUUCAAAGCCGCCUAGUCUGUGGCACUUUGUGACUGCACUCACAGGAAAGUAACGUAGGCAUCAAACUCAGAGUAAUGCAUCAAGGAAGUCUUCUUGGAGGAGGUGACAUUUAAGCUGAGAUCCGAAGAACGGCAUUGUAAUCAGGGCUGUUUCAUUUGUAGGAACAGGGUUCUUCAAACUAACUUAAAUAAAAGGGUUGGCGAUGAGGGAGGUAGUUUAAAAGGGUACAGGACGUCUCAGGGUGUCCGUGUGGAAAGAAGCGGAACUUGCUGAAUGGGACGGGGUUUCUGAGCCAGGGGGGUGGUUUCCAUCAGUCGGCGCUGCAUGGCGUCCCCCCCUCCGCUUCUCCCUUCCUCUCCACCACUGCACAUCUCUCUGUAAUCAGCUUUAUCUUUUCCCAGAUGGCUUUUCCUCCUUACCCUCAUUGCUCUGCCCAACCACCCUGUUUAUUUUAUUUAGAAAACAUGUCACAAACCACAGUUACUGUGUCACCUUGCCUGUGAAUUUGUUCUUCAUCUGUCUUCCUCGUGAAGUCAGAAUUGUGCCCCGCUAAGAAUUCAGAGUUCAACCUAAGAACAAGGAGGGGCGACAUGAUCUGAAUUCUGUUUUCUAAAGAUCCUGGGCCGCAGGUGGAGACUGAACUGGAUGCGGGCAGGACCAAGCGCGAGGCCUGGAGGACGGUAACUGCUCACGAUGCGUGGUUACACGGAGACACGGAGGCUGGUGAGGAGACUGCUCCAGUGGUCUGGCCGAGAGAUGCUGGUGGCCCAGGCUGUGUUAACAGCACAGAACAUGGAGAAAAGCAGGCGAUUCCUGAGACACUCAGGAAGGAGACUAGAGGAGACGUGGUGCCUGAUAACGUGCGGGGAAGGUGGUGACGGGAGAAGGCAGGCAGACCGCCCCGGGCUGGGGGACGCAGCGGGGUGUUUGAGGACGGCGCGGUGAGCCCGAGAUGCCUGAGGGACACGGAGACGGGAUGCUGGAGUGGCCCCAGUGUCAGCGGUUACAGCCUGGAGCUCUGGAGGCAGCAUUUGUCCAGUGACGCUGCUGUGGAACUCUUGCACCUGCAAAGAGCGACUGAGCCAUGGAGACGGCUCCCAGAGGGCGUGUAAAUAGAGG
This is a non-coding RNA of Vicugna pacos (alpaca), 2198 nucleotides long. The record is from RefSeq and is a predicted model, not a curated record. NCBI's taxonomy places the organism in Eukaryota, Metazoa, Chordata, Mammalia, Artiodactyla, Camelidae.